GUCGCGGUGGCCGAGGCGGACGGGCCGGCGGCCGGGUUGGCGCUGGUGGAGGCGGUGGCCGAGUCGCUGCGCGGGUACCACCUGCUGCCCGCGACCC
Molecule: transfer RNA, 97 nt
Filed under: Phytohabitans flavus
Lineage: Bacteria; Bacillati; Actinomycetota; Actinomycetes; Micromonosporales; Micromonosporaceae
Description: tRNA-Pro
Source: RNAcentral